GACUUUAUGAUGACGACCUGAUUUCUUACCUAUUGGCGUGGGCUGGACAUUGAAUACAAUCCAUUGGCGGCUUCCGUUCUUGGAGAUCAACAACUGAUACGAUUAUGCCCAAUGAAUUGUACGCUCAACACCUCAGUUAUGAAA
Molecule: non-coding RNA, 144 nt
Organism: Triticum aestivum (bread wheat)
Lineage: Eukaryota; Viridiplantae; Streptophyta; Magnoliopsida; Poales; Poaceae
Source: Rfam